RNAcentral lists this ribosomal RNA (777 nucleotides) under uncultured Neocallimastigales. RNAcentral's name for it is "partial large subunit ribosomal RNA". It matches the Rfam family "Eukaryotic large subunit ribosomal RNA", at positions 23 to 628 of the family's 3401-position model. Lineage: Eukaryota; Fungi; Neocallimastigomycota; Neocallimastigomycetes; Neocallimastigales. The record is from RNAcentral.
AGAGAGAGACAUGCGCGCAUAUCAAUAAGCGGAGGAAAAGAAACUAACAAGGAUUCCCUUAGUAACGGCGAGUGAAGCGGGAAGAGCUCAAAUUUGAAAUCUUCAAGGUUUUACCUUGACGAAUUGUAGUUUAAAGAAGUGUUUUUCUGCUGAAGUUUUGGUAAAGAGUUCCUUGGAAUAGGACAUCAUAGAGGGUGAGAAUCCCGUAUUUGACCAUUAUUUUCAGCUUUGUGAUACACUUUCAAAGAGUCGGAUUGUUUGGGAAUGCAGUCCAAAAUGGGUGGUAAAUUUCAUCUAAAGCUAAAUAUUGGCGAGAGACCGAUAGCGAACAAGUACCGUGAGGGAAAGAUGAAAAGAACUUUGAAAAGAGAGUUAAACAGUACGUGAAAUUGUCAAAAGGGAAGCGUUUGACACCAGUGUUGUUUUCCUCGAAAAUCAAUUAAAAAUGGCUCGAUUUUGUAUUGUUGAGACCUUAAAAGCUCACUGUACAUUUUUCGUGUCUUUUUUAAUGCACUUUUCGUUUAACAAGUCAACAUCAGUUUCUUUUGUUGUAAAAGGGUCAUUGGAAGGUGGCCUUCUUUUCGGAGAAAGUGUUUAUAGCCUUUGGCCUCUGCAAUCGAAGAGACUGAGGUCUGCAGCGUAGACUCUUCGGGGUUAGAUACAUUUGUGCUAAGUUAUAGCUUUUUAUAGACAACUUGUUGACUAUAAUUAGUCUUGUAGCUUACUCGCCUAUGCUAUUUUACCUACGCUUAGGAUGUUGAGUCGUAGAGCACGCAG